Molecule: ribosomal RNA, 789 nt
Filed under: uncultured bacterium
Lineage: Bacteria
Description: bacterial SSU rRNA
Rfam family: Bacterial small subunit ribosomal RNA
Source: RNAcentral
AGAGUUUGAUCCUGGCUCAGAUUGAACGCUGGCGGCAUGCCUAACACAUGCAAGUCGCACGCGAAAGGGGGCAACCCCGAGUAGAGUGGCGGACGGGUGCGUAAUACGCAGGAAUCUACCCACGAGUGGGGGACAACCCGGGGAAACCCGGGCUAAUACCGCAUGAGACCUACGGGUGAAAGCGGGGGAUCGCAAGACCUCGCGCUGGUGGAUGAGCCUGCGUCCGAUUAGCUAGUUGGUAGGGUAAAGGCCUACCAAGGCAACGAUCGGUAGCUGGUCUGAGAGGACGACCAGCCACACUGGGACUGAGACACGGCCCAGACUCCUACGGGAGGCAGCAGUGGGGAAUAUUGGACAAUGGGGGCAACCCUGAUCCAGCAAUGCCGCGUGUGUGAAGAAGGCCUUCGGGUUGUAAAGCACUUUCGAUGGGGACAAACGUGUCGGGCUUAAUACGUCCGGCCUUGAUGGUACCCAGAGAAGAAGCACCGGCUAACUCUGUGCCAGCAGCCGCGGUAAUACAGAGGGUGCAAGCGUUAAUCGGAAUUACUGGGCGUAAAGCGUGCGUAGGUGGUUGGAUAAGUCAGGUGUGAAAUCCCCGAGCUUAACUUGGGAAUUGCGCUUGAUACUGUCCGGCUAGAGUGUGGUAGAGGGUAGUGGAAUUCCGCAUGUAGCGGUGAAAUGCGUAGAUAUGCGGAGGAACAUCAGUGGCGAAGGCGGCUACCUGGACCAACACUGACACUGAGGCACGAAAGCGUGGGUAGCAAACAGGAUUAGAUACCCUGGUAGUCG